UGAACGCUAGCGGCAGGCUUAACACAUGCAAGUCGAGGGGUAUAGUAGCAAUACUAGAGACCGGCGCACGGGUGCGUAACGCGUAUGCAAUCUACCUUUCACAGAGGGAUAGCCCAGAGAAAUUUGGAUUAAUACCUCAUAGUAUUAUAGUAUGGCAUCAUAUUAUAAUUAAAGUCACAACGGUGAAAGAUGAGCAUGCGUCCCAUUAGUUAGUUGGUAAGGUAACGGCUUACCAAGACUACGAUGGGUAGGGGUCCUGAGAGGGAGAUCCCCCACACUGGUACUGAGACACGGACCAGACUCCUACGGGAGGCAGCAGUGAGGAAUAUUGGACAAUGGGCGCAAGCCUGAUCCAGCCAUGCCGCGUGCAGGAAGACGGUCCUAUGGAUUGUAAACUGCUUUUGCACAGGAAGAAACAACGCUACGUGUAGCGUCUUGACGGUACUGUGAGAAUAAGGAUCGGCUAACUCCGUG
RNAcentral lists this ribosomal RNA (474 nucleotides) under uncultured bacterium. RNAcentral describes it as "bacterial SSU rRNA". It matches the Rfam family "Bacterial small subunit ribosomal RNA", at positions 30 to 507 of the family's 1533-position model. The record is from RNAcentral.